UAGGGAAUAUUGGGCAAUGGAGGAAACUCUGACCCAGCAACGCCGCGUGAAGGAUGAAGGUUUUCGGAUUGUAAACUUCUGAUCUGUGGGAAAAAAGAAAUGAUGGUACCACAGGAGAAAGCCACGGCAAACUACGUGCCAGCAGCCGCGGUAAUACGUAGGUGGCAAGCGUUGUCCGGAAUAACUGGGCGUAAAGGGUGCGUAGGUGGUUUGCUAAGUUAAAUGUGAAAGCCCAGGGCUCAACUCUGGAACUGCAUUUAAUACUGGCAAGCUGGAGUGCAGGAGAGGUAAGUGGAAUUCCUAGUGUAGCGGUGGAAUGCGUAGAUAUUAGGAGGAACACCAGAGGCGAAGGCGACUUACUGGACUGUAACUGACACUGAGGCACGAAAGCGUGGGGAGCAAACA
This 405-nucleotide ribosomal RNA is filed under the name uncultured Eubacteriales bacterium. RNAcentral describes it as "uncultured Clostridiales bacterium partial 16S ribosomal RNA". It matches the Rfam family "Bacterial small subunit ribosomal RNA", at positions 355 to 774 of the family's 1533-position model. Lineage: Bacteria; Bacillati; Bacillota; Clostridia; Eubacteriales. The record is from RNAcentral.